This 802-nucleotide ribosomal RNA is filed under the name Sanguibacter inulinus. RNAcentral describes it as "bacterial SSU rRNA". It matches the Rfam family "Bacterial small subunit ribosomal RNA", at positions 82 to 896 of the family's 1533-position model. Lineage: Bacteria; Bacillati; Actinomycetota; Actinomycetes; Micrococcales; Sanguibacteraceae. The record is from RNAcentral.
CUCUGGUUGAUCAGUGGCGAACGGGUGAGUAACACGUGAGUAACCUGCCCUUGACUCUGGGAUAACUCCGGGAAACCGGGGCUAAUACCGGAUACGAGACGCGACCGCAUGGUCGGCGUCUGGAAAGUUUUUCGGUCAAGGAUGGACUCGCGGCCUAUCAGCUUGUUGGUGAGGUAAUGGCUCACCAAGGCGUCGACGGGUAGCCGGCCUGAGAGGGCGACCGGCCACACUGGGACUGAGACACGGCCCAGACUCCUACGGGAGGCAGCAGUGGGGAAUAUUGCACAAUGGGCGAAAGCCUGAUGCAGCGACGCCGCGUGAGGGAUGAAGGCCUUCGGGUUGUAAACCUCUUUCAGUAGGGAAGAAGCGAAAGUGACGGUACCUGCAGAAGAAGCGCCGGCUAACUACGUGCCAGCAGCCGCGGUAAUACGUAGGGCGCAAGCGUUGUCCGGAAUUAUUGGGCGUAAAGAGCUCGUAGGCGGUUUGUCGCGUCUGGUGUGAAAACUCAAGGCUCAACCUUGAGCUUGCAUCGGGUACGGGCAGACUAGAGUGUGGUAGGGGUGACUGGAAUUCCUGGUGUAGCGGUGGAAUGCGCAGAUAUCAGGAGGAACACCGAUGGCGAAGGCAGGUCACUGGGCCACUACUGACGCUGAGGAGCGAAAGCAUGGGGAGCGAACAGGAUUAGAUACCCUGGUAGUCCAUGCCGUAAACGUUGGGCACUAGGUGUGGGGCUCAUUCCACGAGUUCCGCGCCGCAGCUAACGCAUUAAGUGCCCCGCCUGGGGAGUACGGCCGCAAGGCUA